Molecule: long non-coding RNA, 1843 nt
Filed under: Betta splendens (Siamese fighting fish)
Lineage: Eukaryota; Metazoa; Chordata; Actinopteri; Anabantiformes; Osphronemidae
Description: lncRNA (ENSBSLG00000008239.1)
Source: RNAcentral
UGGGACUAGAUGCUGCCGUUUGGAGGACACAGCGAGCGCAUGUUAAUAGGAGGCCACGUGCGUCUUUGUGUGCAUGUAAUGCUGCAUAUGCCUUUGCUCGGGGCUGGAUGUGAAGCCAUAAUUAACACAAUGGGAUGAUUAGCCAUGCAGACGCGCGGCCACCGGCUCCCCAAAGAGAAAAGGGGGGAAUGAAGACGUGGAGGAUCCAGAAUGAGGCACGUUCCUCUUUUCCUGCCGUCUGCUACUGUACUCAGACCGGAUGCCUCCACUGUCUCCAGCUCCCUUUAAAUCAGUGGGCUUCUGUCUCAGGACAGUACACGCAUGCUGGAGAUGUCUCACUCCAGCGUGACUCCACCAUGCAGAAUUAAAAACGUGCUGUAAUGGAGACGAUAGCGUUGCUUUUUGGAGCUCUCUCUCUCUCUCUUGGGAACCCAAUAUCACAGUGACACGUCUCAUAACGUCUAGACUCCAUAGCAGACACCAACUUUGAUUGGUUUUGGUGAGAACUGUAAUUGCACAAUGGUAAAAAGAUAAAAAAAAAAUAAUCUGAGUGAUGAAAUGCCGGAGGGGAACUUCAUUUGUAAGUGAAUUGUGAGGCCAGUGUGUUUUAAAGGGACGCUGAGUGCGAGUUUGGACGGGAUCGAUGUGCAUGUAGGAAUCCCAAUGGUGAUCAAUGAGAAUGGAUUUAGGGAGAGGGCGGCGUCGCUGCGGCGCCACGGCGACCGAAGCUGCUGAAAUAGACUUUAUGAAUAUUAAACGGCACGAGGUCGAUACCGGGACAGGACGGCUGCAGUCGACGCAGGGACACGCUGCCCUGUGAGCGUGUGAGCGCGAGAGAGCGGGAGUUCAUUCAGACGGAUUUAAACAGAUUCUCAUAAAGUAAGCGACUCUCGUUAAUCAGUUAUUCGUCACCAAAAGCUCUGUGAACGCUCUUCGGCCUCCAGCUCCUCCACUGCUGACGAGCUCAACGCCGCCAUGGGAAGUAGAGACUUCCUGUGGUGCUGGGACGAUCGGAGGCCCGCGUGGCAGGAUGGAGCCCAGCAUUAUGCAAACGACACAGCAGGGUCAAUGGGGCUCAUUGAUCGUCCAGCUUCUGGUGGACGCCACAUGAAGGACGGAACAAAACAGCGGGGCAUGAAGGCAGAGUCGACUGGAUCUGAAGGAGCAGGAGUCCUCCAGGCGCUGGAGAUACAAGCAGGGAGAAGAAAGGGAACAGGAGAUUGAGGCAGACACAGCAAACAGGAACUCUCCCAGGAGUGCUUCAGCCAAAUGUAUUUAAAUGUAUUCUGCUAAUUACAAAACUCUAAACACACACACGCUGAUGCAAACACUGUCUGGCGUUUUGUAGCACUGUUGUACUGGGGUAAUUACAUGCACUGCUUUACACGCGUGUCUGUGAGCGAUGCCGGUGUAUAGGUGUGUGCGUGUGCGUGUGCGUGUACGUCUGCGUCUGAGGCAGAGACGAUAAAAACGCUUACAUGCUGCAGACGCGAUAAGUGGAGUCUUCUCCACAAAGAUGAAGUAGUAUGGAUUAAAGCGGAGCAUGCGGGUGGUUGGCUGCUCCUGAAUCGAGAUGCCGUUACAGCUCAAACAAAAACAUUCACUGCAGAGAUUCCCUUCGAAAUCACUCUCGUGACUGGGAAAAGCCUGGUUCAUAGACUCCGCUCUGCACUUGUUUUGACAGGUCGGACGAACACAGAGGAAGACGCGGUGACGUCGCGUGGGAGCAGAGUGCUCUUUUAAUAGGAUGAAGAGCAGCUCUCGAUAGUUGGUUUCUAACCAGCUGGUCCUGAGAUCCCUCUGAUUUAUUGACCAUUGUCUGUCUGGACACCGUCCCGUGUCC